Molecule: ribosomal RNA, 434 nt
Filed under: uncultured Clostridium sp.
Lineage: Bacteria; Bacillati; Bacillota; Clostridia; Eubacteriales; Clostridiaceae
Description: partial 16S ribosomal RNA
Rfam family: Bacterial small subunit ribosomal RNA
Source: RNAcentral
ACGGAAGGCAGCAGUGGGGGAUAUUGCACAAUGGGGGAAACCCUGAUGCAGCAACGCCGCGUGAGUGAUGACGGCCUUCGGGUUGUAAAGCUCUGUCUUCAGGGACGAUAAUGACGGUACCUGAGGAGGAAGCCACGGCUAACUACGUGCUAGCAGCCGCGGUAAUACGUAGGUGGCGAGCGUUGUCCGGAUUUACUGGGCGUAAAGGGAGCGUAGGCGGAUUUUUAAGUGAGAUGUGAAAUACUCGGGCUUAACCUGAGUGCUGCAUUUCAAACUGGAAGUCUAGAGUGCAGGAGAGGAGAAGGGAAUUCCUAGUGUAGCGGUGAAAUGCGUAGAGAUUAGGAAGAACACCAGUGGCGAAGGCGAUUCUCUGGACUGUAACUGACGCUGAGGCUCGAAAGCGUGGGGAGCAAACAGGAUUAGAUACCCUGGUA